ACACAAGUAUACAUUUCUUCUGUAAGUGUUUGUUUCCAUAUAUGAAGAUUCAGUGACUCAUGGAACACGGCAAGAAAGAUAAACUAUAAAACAUUGACAUGAAGGCGCGUGAUUAACGUGACAGUUGCAGAUAGAAACUCUUCUUUUUUGUUGAACUCUGCUGGUGGCUCAAACUGUCAUUUUACAACUUACAAAACUGCAAGAAACUCAUGACAUACGCAUUUAUCUACAUCCCAGAUAAACUCUCUGUUCUCAACUUCUCAUGAUUCCUACACCGAAACUUCUGGCCCCACCAUCUUUGAUCACUUGAUAGUUCCCCCACUACCCAACUGCAAGCAAUCAUAUGUAUGACCACAAACAAACACUGCCAGUAUUCUUGUUUCCUUAAUCAUUUUAUAUUCUUCUACUUCAUGUUGUUUUUCAUUAAGAUUCUACAUAAACAUAGUAGAAGCUAUGUCAACAGAUAUGCGUUCAACAUCAAGGACAAGCAUAAACAGACGUAUAAAACUUGCCCCAGACAUGCAAAACAUCAUCAUCAUGCAUCCACAACAUGCUAAAAUAACGCACUCUUAUUUUUUCUGUAGAUAAGAACCCCAUCUAUCUGUUUAUCUUUCCUUCACAAUACAAGAAGGAGAACAAAGCUUUCGUCUCUGUCACAGAUUUGUCUUCUUCCACUGGAUCUCAAUUUUGGAGCAAGGGGACUCAAACCCGACAAGACAAUUUCCACCAUCUCGCCACCUUCAUCAUUUCAUUUGGUGACCAGUUCUCCACCUGCUUCUUUCCAUUUUGCAUUCACUUCUCUCUCUCUUCCCCUUCUCCUGUGAUUUAAUAUAACCCUUCUAAUUAUAUAGUCCAUCAACCACGAAACUUUGCUUUGAUUUACGGUCACAUGAACCUUGAGUUUAAUUUACAAAAUACUCUUUUUAAGAAAAUAACUGGUUUGUGUUUU
This 949-nucleotide long non-coding RNA is filed under the name Vigna radiata. Its description in RNAcentral is "long non-coding RNA (VRAD_LNC013797)". The record is from RNAcentral. Lineage: Eukaryota; Viridiplantae; Streptophyta; Magnoliopsida; Fabales; Fabaceae.